GUUUCGACAAAGCUUCCGGUUCCUGUUAUCGACAAACUACAAACAAUUCUUUUUGACCAAGAAGACGUCAAUUCAAUGACUUUAAAGGAUUCUGAUUGACUGGUGGCAGAAGGGGUAUGAAUAUAAAGUGGCAUUAAGGCCUUGCAGACAGACUUAACAAUAUGAAUAACAUGCUGAAGUUGCAAUAACAGUUUGACGAAGACCCACAUGUAAUCCCAUAUUGACGGUUGUAGAACUCGUACCAACAGAUUUCACUUGGGAUAUAAUGGCAAGUUGGGAUGAGAAACUUCUUACAGCUGCAAAGGAGGGGAAUAUAAAAGAGGUAGAAUUAUGUGUAAAGAACAGAGCUAACUUGGAAUGUAGAGGAGGUG
Molecule: long non-coding RNA, 371 nt
Organism: Mytilus trossulus (common blue mussel)
Lineage: Eukaryota; Metazoa; Mollusca; Bivalvia; Mytilida; Mytilidae
Exons: 4
Source: RefSeq, a predicted model, not a curated record